GGAGUGCUGGGUAGAGCAAGGCCGGUGCCUGGCUAGGGCUUCACCCUCCGGCUUGUGCCCACGAACCUAGGUGAGGACAGGCACUCCUGCCUUUGGGCCCAAAUGUUGCAUUUUCCAAAACCACCCUGGCCCACCACGCCCCCAUCCUGGGCGGAUAAAAACUGAGACCCUAGCAGGCAGAUACACAAGCGUCUGGACGUCCAGAGGAGGGGAUCAGCGGAAGAAGACACAAGCAGCCGGACAUCGAGAGGAUGUCGAGGGGAGCAUGCCAGUGGAAGAGCACAUGACAGACACUGGCAGGACAGCAGGCCAUUGACUGGAGGAACGAUGUGGAGUUUAGCGAGAUCAGGAGGAGGAGAGCACGGGCCGCUAAGCAGAGGGACCCCUGGUGCAUCUCCCAUCUGGCUCCCCCAUCUGCUGAGAACUACUUCUACUCAGUAAAACCUCGGACUCAUUCUCCAAGCCCUCGCGUGAUCUGAUUCUUCCGGUACACCACGGCAGGAAACCCUGGGAUACAGAAAUCCCUCCGUCCUUGUGGAUUUUAGAAUGCCAAGCUGACAUUUUGAGUUGUUAUGAGAAACCAGAAAAUUUGGUGUGAAGACCCUAAGUGGUGCGUCUGACUUACAGCAGGCCCACAAAAGUAAAAGGUCCCUGGAGAAAUUUAAAACAAAUAUAUAAGGUACCUGUUAUUGAGUGAGAUAAGCAAAUGGUAUUUCAGGACCAAAACAUCUAUUUCCUGAAGAGUUGCUCCUUUAAUUGUGUAUCUACCUACCUGUCUAUGUAACUCUCGGCAAAUAUAUUGGAGACUUCUCAACUUUCUGCUUCUGAUGAUCUCAACUUGUGGUAUGGCAAAAGGAGAGCAAAAUGUUCACCCAGAUGACAUCGUGAUCAACUCCUCUGAAUCACUCUAAAGGAACGAGAAGUCCUGGCAGCUGAGUCAUGAUCCCCCAGGAGCCAUUAAGAAGUUCAUCUUCAGUCACUUCCAUCCAAACAGAAGAAAACCCAUGAAGCAUGAGAACUAUGGGUCCUGAGAAUGACAGGUAAUUGGUGCCACUUUAUUCACAGAAUCCAAUAAAUAGUACCCUUUGAUUCACA
This is a long non-coding RNA of Pan troglodytes (chimpanzee), 1095 nucleotides long. RefSeq lists it as uncharacterized. The record is from RefSeq and is a predicted model, not a curated record. The transcript is spliced from 6 exons. NCBI's taxonomy places the organism in Eukaryota, Metazoa, Chordata, Mammalia, Primates, Hominidae.